UGGGGAAUAUUGCACAAUGGGCGCAAGCCUGAUGCAGCCAUGCCGCGUGUAUGAAGAAGGCCUUCGGGUUGUAAAGUACUUUCAGUCGGGAGGAAGGUGGUAAGGUUAAUAACCUUAUCAAUUGACGUUACCGACAGAAGAAGCACCGGCUAACUCCGUGCCAGCAGCCGCGGUAAUACGGAGGGUGCAAGCGUUAAUCGGAAUUACUGGGCGUAAAGCGCAUGCAGGCGGUUGAUUGAGUCAGAUGUGAAAUCCCCGGGCUUAACCCGGGAAUUGCAUCUGAUACUGGUCAGCUAGAGUCUUGUAGAGGGGGGUAGAAUUCCAUGUGUAGCGGUGAAAUGCGUAGAGAUGUGGAGGAAUACCGGUGGCGAAGGCGGCCCCCUGGACAAAGACUGACGCUCAGGUGCGAAAGCGUGGGGAGCAAACAGG
This 429-nucleotide ribosomal RNA is filed under the name Chloroflexota bacterium. RNAcentral describes it as "Chloroflexi bacterium partial 16S ribosomal RNA". It matches the Rfam family "Bacterial small subunit ribosomal RNA", at positions 355 to 776 of the family's 1533-position model. Lineage: Bacteria; Bacillati; Chloroflexota. The record is from RNAcentral.